This 380-nucleotide ribosomal RNA is filed under the name uncultured eukaryote. RNAcentral describes it as "partial 18S ribosomal RNA". It matches the Rfam family "Eukaryotic small subunit ribosomal RNA", at positions 592 to 976 of the family's 1831-position model. The record is from RNAcentral.
CAAUAGCGUAUAUUAAAGUUGUUGCAGUUAAAAAGCUCGUAGUUGGAUUUGUGGCGUACGGUGUGUUCCGGGCACUUGUUGUCUGAGUAACCUGCUGUUGCCAUCCUUGGGUGGAACCUGUGUGGCAUUAGGUUGUCGUGCAGGGGAUGCCCAUCAUUUACUGUGAAAAAAUUAGAGUGUUCAAAGCAGGCUUAUGCCGUUGAAUAUAUUAGCAUGGAAUAAUGAGAUAGGACUUUUUUGCUAUUUUGUUGGUUUGCGCAAGAAGGUAAUGAUUAAUAGGGACAGUUGAGGGUAUUCGUAUUCCAUUGUCAGAGGUGAAAUUCUUGGAUUUUUGGAAGACGAACUACUGCGAAAGCAUUUACCAAGGAUGUUUUCAUUAA